UUAACUCAAAUUUGUAUGUAGUGGAAAUAUUUGCCUACGUUUGCCACUAGAGGCGCUGUUCCAACUGCAUACAAAUUUGAGUUA
This is a non-coding RNA of Bombyx mori (domestic silkworm), 84 nucleotides long. The record is from Rfam. NCBI's taxonomy places the organism in Eukaryota, Metazoa, Arthropoda, Insecta, Lepidoptera, Bombycidae.